RNAcentral lists this ribosomal RNA (104 nucleotides) under Caerostris extrusa. The record is from RNAcentral. Lineage: Eukaryota; Metazoa; Arthropoda; Arachnida; Araneae; Araneidae.
UGCCAUACCAUGCUGAAUAUACCGGUUCUCGUUAGUCACCGAAGUCAAGCAUCAUUGGGCGCGGCCAGUACUUGGGAGGGUGACCACCUGGGAACACCGCGUGC